This is a long non-coding RNA of Brassica oleracea var. oleracea, 392 nucleotides long. RefSeq lists it as uncharacterized. NCBI's taxonomy places the organism in Eukaryota, Viridiplantae, Streptophyta, Magnoliopsida, Brassicales, Brassicaceae. The transcript is spliced from 3 exons. The record is from RefSeq and is a predicted model, not a curated record.
CUUUGUUGCUUUUGGUAUAGAGAUGGUAAAAUUAACCAACAUUCAAGCUUCUGAAGCUGCCCAUAUUUUGGGUGCAGGUGUCAAUGCUGGACAACGAACUCCCACAGUUUAUUGCUGAUAUUGUUGGCAGGACCUUCAUUCUUCCAGCUCAAGUUAGGUGAGGUCAACUUCAGUCCCAAACAGCAAACCUUCACCAUUUCCUGUAUCAAUCUUUUCUGAACGCCGGGAUGCACCUCUCCCAGAAUUUGUUAUUGAUGUUGAGUGGUGACCAUAGUGCUGAUGAUGUUAUGCAUGGAGAGAAUCCAGUAGAAUCCAAGGUUUCUGAUGGUGACAAUAAAACUGAUGUUGAGCUACCAUAUGGUGUGUCAGGAGAACUCGGAGAGACUACAAAU